AGUGAACGCUGGCGGUAGGCCUAACACAUGCAAGUCGAACGGUAGCACAGUAAUAGCUUGCUCUUACGGUUGGCGAGUGGCGGACGUGUGAGGAAUACAUCGGAAUCUACUUUUUCGUGGGGGAUAACGUAGGGAAACUUACGCUAAUACCGCAUACGACCUACGGGUGAAAGCAGGGGAUCUUCUGACCUUGCGCGAUUGAAUGAGCCGAUGUCGGAUUAGCUAGUUGGCGGGGUAAAGGCCCACCAAGGCGACGAUCCGUAGCUGGUCUGAGAGGAUGAUCAGCCACACUGGAACUGAGACACGGUCCAGACUACUACGGGAGGCAGCAGUGGGGAAUAUUGGACAAUGGGCGGAAGCAUGAUACAGCCAUACCGCGUGGGUGAAGAAGGCGUUCGGGUUGUAAAGACCUUUUGUUGGGAAAGAAAAGCAGCAGGUUAAUACACCGCUGUUGUGACGGUACCAAAAGAAUAAGCACCGGCUAACUUCGUG
RNAcentral lists this ribosomal RNA (492 nucleotides) under uncultured bacterium. RNAcentral's name for it is "partial 16S ribosomal RNA". It matches the Rfam family "Bacterial small subunit ribosomal RNA", at positions 29 to 507 of the family's 1533-position model. The record is from RNAcentral.